CCGGNAAAAAAUCNGUGAGGUUAAUAUCCUCAUCNNAUNAUGGUACCGGANUAAGAAGCACCNGCUAAUUANGUGCCAGCAGCCGCGGUAAUACGUAGGGUNCGAGCGUUAAUCGGAAUUANUGGGCGUAAAGCGUGCGCANNCNGUUUUUUAAGACAGGCGUGAAAUCCCCGGGCUUAACCUGGGAANUGCGUUUGUGACUGGAAGGCUAGAGUACGGCAGAGGGGGGUGGAAUUCCACGUGUAGCAGUGAAAUGCGUAGAGAUGUGGAGGAACACCAAUGGCGAAGGCAGCCCCCUGGGUCGAUACUGACGCUCAUGCACGAAAGCGUGGGGAGCAAACAGGAUUAGAUACCCUGGUAGUCCACGCCCUAAACGAUGUCAACUAGGUGUUGGGUGGGUAAAACCAUUUAGUACCGGAGCUAACGCGNAAGUUGACCGCCNGGAG
RNAcentral lists this ribosomal RNA (446 nucleotides) under uncultured bacterium. RNAcentral describes it as "partial 16S ribosomal RNA". It matches the Rfam family "Bacterial small subunit ribosomal RNA", at positions 440 to 878 of the family's 1533-position model. The record is from RNAcentral.